UGGUGGAUAAAACCCAGCGAGUCCGCGCGUCGGAUAUCUUCGCCGCCAGCUGCGUUGCGUCCCCAUGGCUCUCCCCCUCGGCCGCCUCCUCCCCACGCUCCCCGCCUGCCACUGCCGGUCACCACCCCGCUUCCCUAAGCACCACGCUGCAGCGCGCCGCGGCUGCGUCUCCUUUGUUGUCCCCACCACCGCCUACUCCCGGGGUAGCCGCGCCGCCUGCGCCGCUAGCGCCUCGGUGGCCCCGGCCCCCGCGGCGGAGGCGGAGGAGCCAGCGGGGCCGAGGACGCGGCUCGUCGCACAGAACAUCCCGUGGGACUGCACGGCCAACGACAUGCGCGCGCUCUUCGAGAAGCACGGCUCCGUCAUCGACGUUGAGCUUUCAAUGUACAAUUCCAGUAAAAACAGGGGAUUGGCAUUUGUGACCAUGGGUUCAGAAGAGGAGGCUCUUGCAGCUCUCAACAAUCUUAAUUCGACUAUUUUAAAUGACAGAAAAAUCAAGGUGGACUUUGCAAGACCUAGAAAGAAGCAACCUAAGCAACCUGUUAUGGCAUUGGAUUCCAAUUCACCAAAGUAUAUUGUGUUUGUCGGAAAUUUGACAUGGAGAGUUAGAUCUCGUCACCUUCGAGAAUUAUUUGAAUCGACCCCAGGUUUCAUAUCAGCUGAAGUUGUCUUUCAAACCACCACUCCAAGGCGAUCUGCUGGUUAUGCAUUUGUUUCUUUUUCAUCGAAAGAGGCCGCAGAGGCCGCCAUAUCUACUUUCAACGGGAAGAAAUUGACGGGACGACCCAUUAAUGUGAUGUUCAAAGAUGACGAUGUUAAAAAGAAUAAAUCUUCUAUUCCAAAGGAAGAGGAUCUAGACGUGGGAUCAUCUGAGAAGAGUGGUAGUUAAGCAUGAACUCUUCUGAAAACCACGAAGAGAAGUUAAAUUAAUAGAUCUGUGGCAACUGGAUACAUAUAUAACUGACCAAUGGGAUGCCAUAUUGCUGCUCCGUUUUUCUCGUUCAGGAACUCAUGAAUUUUUAAAUACGAUGCUCUGUAAAUUCUCCGCUUGAUAUCUGUAACAUUUGGGGUUCAUCGAUGCUGGGAGUACAAAUAUAUCACAUCUGUGGUUUUUGUCAACUGUCCGUGAUAAUUAAUUGUAGACGAGAAAUAUGGAUGAAGGAGCUCUCACGCAACCUGCUGACGAACUUGACCAUAGUUUUUGUUUGUCAUGAAAUAUCUUAUUUGGAUCCAAUGUAUUGUGUUGGUGGUACAUAUACUGGCUAGAAAUAUUCCUCAAGUCCUGCCUGCCAGUGCCAGGUUAAGAUGACUUCCACACUUCCAAAUUGUUCACUGUGUUUAUCCU
Phragmites australis (common reed) is the source of this 1345-nucleotide RNA transcript. It is a transcript of the gene named 33 kDa ribonucleoprotein, chloroplastic-like, with no coding region annotated. NCBI's taxonomy places the organism in Eukaryota, Viridiplantae, Streptophyta, Magnoliopsida, Poales, Poaceae. The record is from RefSeq and is a predicted model, not a curated record. The transcript has 5 exons.